CUUCAAGGUCAGCAUAACUCUGCACAUGAGAUGUAACAAGGGUUGGAGAGGGUUAAUUGGAACUCCAUCUAAAAGCAAUCUAUCCUUAUCAGGUGAAUAUCCCUGAAAGUCUGAUCACACCAAACACAAAACAGUUGGAUCAGAGAGUCCUCCUACAUUUUGAAGUAGUCUUCAUUAACUUCUUGGAGAUGAGAUACUUCCAAUAAUCAAAGGUUGGCAGACGCUGCAUUCAGGAGAUUGCAGGUGGCAAAAUGAACACGACCCACACGAGCAGAAUGAGAAGUAGGAGAAGCUGUCCACGGCUGGGAACAGAAGAAGAGUGUAGUAAUGUGAUUAUGGUCAAAUUCUGUACUUAACAGCAACAUUUCAGGAAUGUGGACUGUGCAAAAUCAACACAAGACUUACUCCAUAUUCUGCUCCUCAGGAAAAAAAAAAUACUGUGAGAGAAUGGUUUAUACCAGAUGAAAUGGAUUUGGAUUAAGAAAAGACACAUGGUACAGACUAUGGGUGGAAUGGAACAAACUAAUACAUGCCUGUCAAAUAUUGCAAAAUUAUAUCAAGAGUCAAAGACAGAGACUGAAAACAAUUUGACUUCAAGGAGAGAUCGGCUGGCAAAUAGGGUACCAAAGACACCUCAAAGACUUCACCCAGUGGCUGUAGAUUUCUUAGCUUUCUUUCUCCUUCCUAUUUCCAGACUGUCUGUUUGAUAAGUCAACUCUAUGAUUUUGAUGAGCUUUGUUGUCUUUCUCUUGUAUUAGCAAAAUAAUUAUCUGUCAAACAAAAGAGAGGUCACUCAUUUGGAUGGGGAUUGUAGUAUAACCAUUACAUUCUUGUCAUGUGGAGUUUGUAAAGAGAUCCUUAAUCAAAGCAUCACCCUUGACUUAACACCAUUGUGCAUAUGAACUGCUGAACAUAUGGUGCUUUAUUCUAUAGCCUAGCAGCCCAGGCGGAUUUCCCACACCAUGGACAUUUCUUUACAAGAAGAGAGUAAUGCUUCAGGGCAACUAGUGCCAAAGCUAUGAAUAUUCUAAAUAUCUAAAGAAAUGUUCCUCUUAUGACAACUGACCACAGAACUUGUCCUUUCAACCUGUGUAAUCUGGAAACAGCUUACAAUAAUUUGACUUUGAGAAGAUUUGCUGAGGCUGUAUUCACAUUUUUAGGGAAAUAUUGACCAACUUUGUAUUUUAAAGGCCUUUUUUAAUGAUCUUGUCUCAAUGUUUUAAAGACAUUUAAUUGAGCUGUAAUAGAUUGAUGGAUGUCUUAGUGGAAAUAAAAAAAUAAUACUGACAUUUAUUUUCUUUCUC
RNAcentral lists this long non-coding RNA (1304 nucleotides) under Monodelphis domestica (gray short-tailed opossum). RNAcentral's name for it is "lncRNA (ENSMODG00000050791.1)". Lineage: Eukaryota; Metazoa; Chordata; Mammalia; Didelphimorphia; Didelphidae. The record is from RNAcentral.